UUUUUUUUUUUUUUUUUUUUUUUAAACAGAAACUGUUCCGCCAAAGGGUACUUCACACAGCCAUUCGCCUCCUGCAGAUUACUGUCUCACACACACUCAUGAAGACUAAAAGGCAUAAAGUCUUUGGUUACGAACUGGGUUUUUUUUUUAGUUUUGCUAACGGAUCAUAUUCUAACCUGGUUCUUAAGAAUUUCUUCCACAGGUGCACAAUUACCUGCAGAAAUCCUUGGCGGUUUUCUGGGCGGCGGGGUUGCUGGAGGCGAGGAGAAUCACGUGGUUGUAGCAGUGCUCCAGCUCCUCCAUGAUGAAGCCGAGGUCCGAGGAGAGCUGAGGAGCAGCAGUGAAGCGCCAGAACAGCGUGGGAAUGUACACAACCACAGCCAGCAACAGAAGAAUCAAAAAUGAUGAUUAUGAAUACACAAACACACACUCACCCAUGGACACUUCCUUGGCAAAAGCGAGGGAGAUAAGUAGCAGAGGAAGCCCCACCGUGACGAGUAACCUGUUUAUCUGUGGCCAGUACCACGUGCACCCCUCUGUAUGUCCCCUCGGUGGGUUUCUUCAUCAGAAAAUUAGGAAACAUGUUCUAUCGACUGUUAUUACAGCGAGAGCUAAUGUUAUCGGUUAUAGAUACAGCAAGAACUAAUGCACUGCAAUACAGAGCUGUGAAGUUAAUCAGACAUGGGCGUAACCACGCAUUCUUUAAGGGGGGGUCGUGUCACCCCAAUGUUGAGGAAAUCCCUAUAUAUAUAUAUAUAUAUAUAUAUAUAUAUAUAUAAUUACAAAAUAUUUUCUAUAUGUCCCCGUUUAAUCAACCCUGCCAACAGAUCUGUCUUUUCUACAUCUAUUCUAUUUAUUUGUCUAUUCUCUUUUAAUAUAUUUCCGUUUGUUAAGGAAAAUAGGUGUGACCCCCACUCCAAUUGUACACUUGGUUGCGCCCAUACUCAACGCAAGUUCCUUGCUAUAUUAGCCGCUCAGUCUGUAAGAAAUGGAGACAGCAGCCAAGUGUAGAAAAGUGCAGCAGAACAUACGAACUUUUUUUCCAGACAGUCAGUAACUAGUUACCUAAAUAGUAGGUGACCUUAGAUUAGUAUAGAAGUCAUCAUACCAUGGCUUAGUUUGUUCUUAAUAAUGUCAAUUCAAUUUUGAUAUUUUCAAACCGGUGAAGUAGACUAUGCAAACGUCACUUCCGGUUUUGACCAUUAACGGUACAUUCACUUGUAUAUCCUCCCGCCGAGUUCACUAUGAGGAUAGCAGCGUUUCAUUCCUUGACACUACAUUUGGGCUAAGGACAACUAAGUGAUUUCACAAAUAUAAGCUAAACAGAUCGGCAAAGCGACUACAGCUGUCAGACAGGCCCUGGGUGCAGACGAAGGCAGGCAGGCGCUCGUAGGGUUUAAGCAACUGGCUUUGCUGCCUCUGCCGGGCACGUAGGCAUGCUGCGUGGAUCACCACAAACACUAGCAGGAUCAUGUACACAAAGACAUUAACGCAGCUGAAGCCUUGGAACACGCCCACGGACACCAUCUUGCAUGGCACGCGCUCCGAUUCAGGACAACACCUGAGAACACACGGAUUAGCGAUUAAACGCUCGUAGGGACUGACAUGACAGCAUGCAAUCCAUGUACACUGGAAUCCAUCAGUCAUGAAGGUCUGACAUACCAGUGUGCAAUUCGCAGGAGAAGUGGUCAAUCUGAGACACCUUGAUGUAGUACAGCAGGCAGCUGCAAGCCAGGAUUAACGUGGAUAGAGUGAGAAGCCGACAUAGCAGGUACUUCCACGCCAGUGCCUGUGUCACCAGUUUGGUUCUCAGAAACUGUUCCACCAGAGGGUACUUAACGCAGUCCUUCGCCUGCCGCAGAUUCCUGUCUCACACACACUCAUGACGACUAAAAGGCAUAAAGUCUUUGGUUACGAACUAGGGUUUGUUCUUCAGAAUUUUUCCCACAGGUGCACAAUUACCUGCAGAAAUCCUCGGUGAUGUCCUUGGCGACGGGGUCGCUGGAGGCGAGGAGAAUUGCGUUGUUGUAGCAGUGCUCCAGCUCCUCCAUGAUGAAGCCGAGAGCUGAGGAGCAGCAGUGGAGUGCCAGACCAGCGUGGGAAUGUAGACAACCACAGCCAGCAACAAAAGCGUGUAAGGAAAGUAAAACAAAAUUUCAUUGAUAAACAAUUUAUCUGUGCAUCGUGUUACGGAACAGACCUGCAGACAUUUAUAGGUCUUCCUUUCACCAGAACAAUGCGGGAAUUUACAUGAACAAUGAAUGCCACCCAUGGCUCAAGAUUUUCAAAAUCACUGGACCUUUCCUCAGUUCCUGACCAAGCCUGGACAGGAGGACACAAUACUCGUAAAAUAUUGUUGCUUUUUCAUUGAAUGUUUGAAUGUGGUUCGAAUGAUUACAUCAUUUGUAACGACUGUGGGGUGGGACAGUUUGUAUUAUUAUAAUUACUCUGGUAUCAAUAACUGUUUGUUUUGUUUUUGUUUUUUUUAACAAAAAUUGUGGAGCAGCCGAGAACUUGGCAAUGUAAAUAUUUUUGUACAUCUACCAGAUUGCCCGUUGUGUAAAUUAUUUGGAACCUCUAGGCCUGUAAUAUAUAAAAAUAUUCCCAGAAAUUGUAUGUGUAGGCUUUUCGGUCACUAACCCACAGACAGGGUGUGUGGUCCAGCUGGGGGGAGACAACCUUUGUUGAAGAAUGCAUGAUAUGCUGUAUUUCUGCUAAUUGAGCUUGGGUGUUACAUAUUUGAUAAACUCACAUUUUGUUAUUUAGGCUGAGUGUUACAUAUCUAGUUCAUUCUUUUCAUUUAUACCAAACGCUAUGCAUUGUCUUUUGGCAUUUAGCUGAAGUGCUAUAUACAUAAAUAUAUUGAAUUUACUCUUGUAUUUUUGUACCCUUGUCGGCAGAAUUAACAGUUGUGUACCACAUACUCUUGUACUUUUUUUAAUAUUUGAGUCAAAUUAGGAUCUUCAAUAGCCUAUGUCCCAAUUUGCACUGUAUAGAAAAGGGAACCCUUUUCUCCUUUGUUUGUGAGUAUAAGGGAAGGAGUGUUCAUGACGUGGACUGACAUAGACCGCAUCGUAACAACGUUGAUCACUAGUUGGUGUAAAUGAAGGGACUGGAUUGUGAGAUUACUCUCUCAAGCUAGAUGGAAUUUAAUAAGUCCCAUAGGAAAAAUGUAUAGAAAAUUUCUCUGAAGUGUAAUCAAUGUGUAACUAAUAUUGGGAUAUGUUAAUGAAGUGUACUUAAUAUAUAUAACCAACAUUUAGAACUAUUACUUAAGCAUAAUUGAAUAAUCAAUAUUGGUUAAAAAGCAGAAUCUAUAUGUAUAAUCAAUAGUUAGAAACAUAAUCAAAAUCCAUAGAACAAUGUUUGAUCAAGUUAAAUUCUGAGUGUGGUUUGAGUACAAUAAAUGUUCUUCUGUAUCAACUGGCACUUUUAUGCACUGCAAUAAAUUUGCAUUAGAUGUUCGCUUUUGUGGAUGAAUGACCUUGAUGCCACGUGCUAGUUAGGGAGUUGGAAGAGGGCCUCAGGAAGGGAGGUAGAUAUCAGCCAGGACAGCCGAUAGAGACAGACAGAUGCUCCACAAAUUUAAGGUAACGCAUAGACAUGAAUAAUUAAUUAAGGCAAUAGAGAUUGGUUUGUUCCUAGAAAGAAAAGGUGAAUGCCCCACCAAGGGAUAAUUUUACUGUUUCCAAAAAGUAUAUAAAGACAUGUUUGUGUAUGUACAAUUUGGACUUUCUGCAGACUGUCACACUGUA
Molecule: long non-coding RNA, 3755 nt
Organism: Ictalurus punctatus (channel catfish)
Lineage: Eukaryota; Metazoa; Chordata; Actinopteri; Siluriformes; Ictaluridae
Exons: 2
Source: RefSeq, a predicted model, not a curated record